ACUCAUGUAAUGGUACAAGAUCCCAAUGAUGAACGUAACUGUAUGUUAUACCUAAAAUGUACCAAUAAAUUCAAUGGAAAAAAAAGGAUAUAGAAAGCAUAUUACAAAAAUAUUUUUUGAAAUAAAAUUUGACAACUGCAAAGAAGUACCUUGGAAGACAAAUUAAUGAAACUAACUCUAGAGGAAAUAUAAAAUUUCAAUAGCACCUAUUAAAGUAUAUUCCUAGCUUGAAAAUCUACCUAUAUGACAAGAACAGGCUCAUAUACAUUUUAACUGAUAAAUUAUAUCAAACAUUGAAAACAGAAAAAAGAAGGAUACAUUUCUCCCCUCAUUUUAGGAAAUCAACAUUGUGCUAAUCCUAAAACUGGAUAAAGAUAAUAGAAGAAAAAAGUAUGAACAUAGAUAGAAAUUUGUUUAACAAAACAGUUAGAAGUCAGAUCUGGCAGUAUGUAGAAAGUGGUUUUAUCAUAGGGAUGGCAGUGUUGGUUCAGCAUUAGGAGAUCCACUGCCAGAAGUCAUCGUUUUAACAGAGGAAAGGAAAAAGUCAUAUGAUCCUGUCAGUGGUUGGAGAAAAAGUAUUGGAUUAGAUUCUCCAGCUGUUCAUGGUAAAAGCUAUCAGAAGACUAGAAGUAGAACAGAACCUUCUCAACAGAUUAAAGACAUGUACUCCAUACUUCCAGCAAAAAUGCCUUAUAUGAAUGGAGAAGAUACAAUGGUUUCUCCCUUAGGUGGGGAACAAGGGCAGAUAUGCCUUCCCUUCAUCUGUCCAUUAAACUUUGAAACAUAGGCCCAAACUAAAAUAGUCUGGCAAUAAAAUGACACAAUUAGGGUAGGAUUGGCAAGGUAGAAGUAAAAUCUUUAUAUGCAGAAGAAAUGAUCAUCUACAGAGAAAAUACUAAGAAAUCUCUAGGAGCUCCUAGAAGUUGUAUUUGAAUUUAGCAGGAUUAGAAAACACAAGAUAUGUAUAAAAAUUCAGAUCUAUGUAUACUUGCUGUAAAUGAAGAAUCAGAUGUUGAAAUUUAAAAGUUAUGUAGGAGUACAAAGGACUCAGAAAAGUAAAAAGAAAAAGAAGAACAGUGUUGGAAGACAUUUAGUAUCUAAUUUUAAGACUUCCUCUAAAGCUACAGUAAUCAAGGCAGUGUUGGUGUAAGGAAAGACAUAUAGAUCAUUUGAAUAAAACAGAGAAUCUAGAAAGAGAACCACACAUAUAUGGUCCACUGAGUUUUGAAAGAUUAUUAAACAUUAACAUUUUAUAGAAUAUAAACUCACUUCAAGAGCCGAGGAAAAGAUAGUGUUUUCAGCAAGUGGCACUAGAACCCCUGGUAUCUGUAUAUAAAAAAUUAACCUCAACCCCUUCUUUCCAUACAUAAAAAUAACUUGAAGGGAUCUAUGAACCUAAAUAUGAAAGACUAAAACUAUAAAACUUUAAGAAGAAAUUAUAAGGGAAAAUGUUUAUGAAUUUAGGGCAGAACUUCCUAGGAUACAAAAAACAUGGUGUAUAAAAGAAAAAAAUUGAUAAAUGAGAUUCCAUCAAAAUUUAGAACUUUAAAUGACAUUGUUAAAAUGAAAAGUAGUUAAUAUUUUAUAUGCAUAUUUACAAUGCAUAUAACCUCUGACCAGAAUAUAUAAAGAACUCUUAUAGCUCAUUAAUAGACAACCCAAUUAAAAAGUAGACACAAGAAGAUGAUAAAUAGCCAGUGCAGCACAAAGAAAGGUGUGCAACACUAGAAUCAAAAAAUACUAAUCAGCACAAUAACAAGGUUGAAUUAUACACUCAUUAGGGAGAUGAAGUUAAAAGUUUUAAAAGCCUUGCCAUGACUUUUGUUUUUGUUGGAUUCUCCCCCUUUGAGUUUAAUUUGUCAUACCCACCGGAUUCAUUCUGCUGGGUUUCUUGGGGUUGUGAUCCUCAUUGUCUUUUCCUAGGGUAUUGUCUAAAAUUUUUUUGGAGUGCUGGUUUAGUAUUCAUGAAGUUCCUAAGGUGCUCUUUUUCAUGAAAGUAUCUUAUUUCUCCAUUAAUUUUGAAAGAUAGUUUUGCAGGGUACAUCAAUUUGGGUUGGAGGCUGUUUUCCUUUAGGGCUUGAAAUACAUCACUCCAAGCUCUUCUUGCCUGGAGGGUUUGCAUUGAGAAGUCUGCUGUGAUUCUGAUGGGCUUUCCUUUGUAUGUGAUUUGUUUCUUUUCUCUCACUGCUUGUAGAAUUUUGUUCUUCUGUUGGAUUUCUGGAAUCCUAACUAUUAUAUGCCUAUGUGUAGAUUUUUUUUGAUUAAGGCUAGUUGGAGUCCUAUAUGCCUCACUUAUAUGUAUGUCAAGUUCUUUUCCCCUGCUUGGGAAGUUUUCUGCCAUCACUUCUGUGAACAGUUAUUUUAUGUCAUCUGCACUCUCUGCUGUUUCUUCGUUGACUCCAAUCAGUCUUAUGUUAUGCUUCUUUGUAUUGUCUAGCAGCUGCUGGAUUGAUUUCUCGUGGUCCCUUACAAUUUUAAAGCAAUUUUUCUUUUCCUGGUCAGUAAUUGCAAUCUUAUCUUCUAUAUCUUAAAUUCCAUCCUCACAUUGGCACAUUCUGCUGUGUAGACUUUCAAUGGAGUUUUUAAUCUCCUGGAAAUCUGUUUGCAUCUGUUUUAUGGAUUCCAUUUGUUUCCUAUGUUGGGAUUACAUCAUGUUCCUCAGCUCCUCUAUUUUUUUAUCUGUGACUUCUCUAGAUUUAUUAAUCAUGUCUUGCACUAUGGGCACAAUCUCUGCUGUUAUCUGAGAACAUAUUUCUGAUUUCAUUUUUUCCAUAUCCUCUUUUGUUGCUAGUUUAGGGAGUCCAGGUGGUUGAGUAUCAGAGUGUUCCAUCUCAUUUCCCUUUGAGUUUGCUGUAGGUGAUCUGGAAGUCUGGUUUUGAGACUUGUUUAUAUGUCUUUUCAUUUCAAUGGCAGGGGGGUGGUAGGUGUGCGCAGCUCACCUCCUCUGCAGUGGGAGUGGUGGUACAGCAGCCCAGAAGCCCCGACCUCUGUGCUGGGAGUGGUGGUAUGCAACCCCACCUUUUAAAAGUAUUCAAUUCUGUGGUGUUUAGUAUAUUCACAAAGUUGUUCAACUAUCUCUACUAUCUAAUACUAGAAAACUUUCAUCACUCUCCCCCAAAAUAAAAUUACCCAUUAGCACUCAUGACCAACUGGUUCCUCCCUUAGGCCCCUGGGAUCUGUUAAUCUGCUUUCUGUCUCCAUAGAUUUUCCUAUUCUGGACAUUUCAUAUAAAUGGGAUCAUAUAGUAUGUGUCCUUUUGUAAAUGAAUUCUCUUAGUGUGAUGUUUUCAAAGUUCAUCCAUGUUGCAGCAUAUAUCAGUACUUUAUCAAUUUUUAUGUGGGAUAAUAGUCCAUUAUAUGAAUAUGCCAUAUUUUAUUUAUUAAUUCAUGUGCUGAUGGACAUUUGAGUUGUUUCUACUCUUUGCCUAUUAUGAGUAAUACUGCUAUGAACAUUUUUAUAAGUUUUUGUGUGAACAUAUGUUUUCAAUUCUCUUGGGUAUGUAAUGAGGAGUGGAAAUUUUGAGAAACUGCCAAACUGUUUUUAUGUCUACUUUAUCAUAUGUUCCAACCAGCAAUGUAUGAAGGUUCCAAUUUCUACACAUCCACCCUGUCAUUGUCUGUCUUUUUGAUUAUAGCCUUUGUAGUGGGUAUGAAGUAGUAUCUCACUGUGGUUUUAUUUGCAUUUCUUUGUGAUGAAUGAUAUUGAGCAUAUUUUCAUGCAUUUAUUUUCAUGUAUCUUCAUUGAAAAAUGUCCACUCAAGUCAUUUCCUUGUUUCAGAAUCAUAUUAUUUGUCUUUUAUUGAGUUGGAAAAGUGCUUUAUUCAUUCUGGAUACUAGAUCCUUAAGACAUAGUUUUGCAAAUAUAUCUUGUCCCAUCCUGUGGGUUAUUUGGACUUUGCUAAGUGUCCUCUGAAGGACAGCUGGUUUUGGUUUUGAUGAAGUGCAGUUUAUCUAUUUUUUUCAUUGGUUGCUUGAGCUUUUGGUGUCAUCUCAUGGAAACCAUUUCCUAAUUGAGGGUCAUGAGGCUUCACACUCAUAUUUUUUUCUAGGUGUUUUAGAAUUUUAACUCUUAUAUAUGGGUCUCUGAGCUACUUAAAUUAAGUUUUGAAUAUAAUCUGAGGCAAGGGUCUAAGUGUAAAAUAUUGGCCUGAGAAAUUUUUUUUUUGACACAGAAAAUUUAGGCAACAAGAACAAAGAUGGACAAGAGGGAUUCCAUAAAACUAAAUGCUUGUGCUUUUUAGCAAAGCAAACAACAGAAUGAGGAGAUAAUCUAUGGAUGGCUCGAGGUGUAGCUCACUUACAGAGUGUGUGCCUUGCCUGUUUAGAGCCCUGAGUUCAAUCAGUAGCAACACUAAGACCAGAGAGAGAGAGAGAGAAACAACCUAAGGAUUGAGAGAACAUAUUUAUAAGCUAUAUACCUGUUACAGGGUUAAUAUUCAAAGCAAAAAGGAACUUAAAAGAAGAAAACAUACAACUUGAUUUCAAAAAAUGCACAAAGACAUUUCUUAUUAAUGGCUAACAGAUAUAUGAAAAAAUGCUCAUCAUCACUAAUCAUCAGGGAAAUGCAAACUAAAGCCACAACAAGGGUUCAUCUCACAUCCAUUAGGAUGGCCAUUAUCAAAAAGCCGGGAUAGUAAGUAUUGACAAGGAUGUGGAGAAAACAUCCAUACACUGUUGGUGGGCAUGUAAAUUAGUAUGGCUAUUAUAAAGAAUGCUAUGUUUUUUCUGUGUAAGAAUCUUUUUGGUUUGGAUCUUGUACUCUGAGUUACUGCUUUGAAGAUAGGGUUACACAGUAUAUAUAUUGUUCUUCUCAUUAUUUUGUUAGGAAAUUUUGUUUUAUUUUUUCAUAAAAUAAAAGAAUAAAGAAAAACUGAGUGGAAGUUCCUCAAAAAAUUAAAAAUACAGCUAUCACAUGAUUUGGCACUCCCAUUUCUGGGUAUAUAUAAAAAAUCUGAGAUUCGUAUGUUAAAGUGACCUCAGCUCUCCCACCCAUUGCUGCACUAUUCACAACAGUCAAGUUAUAGAGUCAACCUAAGUGUCCAUCAAUGGAUGAAGACAUGGUACUUCUACACAAUGGAAUUGUAUUAAGGCUUUAAAAAGAAGGAAGUUCUAUCAUUUUUCACAAUAUGAAUGAACCCAGAGGAAAUUAUGCUAAGUGAAAUAAGCCAGAUACAGAAAGACAAAUACUACAUGUACUCACACAUAGAAUCUAAACCAAUUGAGCUCAUAGAAACAGAGUAGAAUGGAAGACACCACAGUCUGGGGAAAAUAGGGAAUUCUUGGUGAAAGUGUGCAAAAUUUCAGAUAGAUGGAAAGAAUACAUUUUUGUAGAUAAAUUUCAUAGCAUGGUGACUACAGUUAUCAGUAGUGUAUUAUGUAUUUCAAAAUUGCUAAGAGAGUAUAUUUCAAAUAUUCUCACUAUGAGAAAUAAAUAUUUGUGAUGGAUAUGUUAAUUACCUUAACUUAAUCAUUUCAUUUUGUACACAUGUAUCAUCAUUUUGAAUCUUACAAGUAUAAUUUGUGAAUUUAUAAUUAAGAUAUGAUGUUAGUUAUGGAUUUUUGUAGAUGCCCUUUGUCAGGCAAAGAAAGUUCCCUUCUAUUCUUAUUUUUUUCAGUGUUUUUGACAUAAAAGAAUGUUGGAUUUUUGUUAAAUCCUUUUUUGUGUCUGAUCAUGUGGCAUUUGUGCUUUUUUCUAUUUUGUACUUUUUUUGUACUAUUUUGUGCUUAUUUUGUACUUUUUUCUAUUUUGUACUUUUUUUGUCUAAUCAUGUGGCUUUUUGUACAUUGAUUAGUUUUUAUAUCAACCAAAUUUGCAUUCCUGGAGUAAAUUCACUUGAUCAUGGUGCAUAAUCCUUUUAAUAAGCUGCUGGCCUUAUUUUGCUGGUAUUUUGUUGAGGAUUUUCAUGCCUAUAUUCAUAAUGGAUCUUAUUCUACAGUUUUCUUUUCUUGUUCUAUCUUUGGUUUUCAUAUUAGGUAACCCUGUCCUUAUAGCCUAACUUGUGGACAUGUUUCUUCUUUUGGGAAGAGUUUCUGAAGUAUUGGUGUUUUUCAGUGUAUUUUUCAAUACAAUCUAGCUCUGUUCUACAAUGUAAAAAGCAAAAAGUGAGAAGGAGGGACCCUUUUGUCAUCUGUGCUUCUAGAUGUUCUUAUCUUUGCAUGAUGCCUGAGUUUAUGGUAGCCUCCUUGGACAUAAGAGGGCAGCCAUCCCAAGUCAACAAUGUAAGGAGGGCAGAACAGAAAGAAGGAAAAAACCCCAAUUCUUUAUGAGCAGUUGAAUAAUUGACACUGCAGCUCCUGUUUCCAGACCUCUUAUUAUGUGAGGUAACGCCUACCUUUGUUGUUUAAAGGUAUUUGCAGCAGAAGGUAUCUGUCUGAUAGGCACUGUAUCCUUUGCAACAUACCCUGGUGCCUUCAUUGUCCUCCAGUUUCUAGAGAUCACCAGUUAUGCCUGCAGAAAAGCACCCUGAGAGGAACUUGACAGUCACUGGUUUUUGUGUAAAAGAAAUCAAGCACACCCUCAAGGUUACAUGGACUACAACUACCUGGAACAUUUAACACUAUAGAGGGGUUAACAAUUUUGCCCUUUGUAUGUGUGGUUAAAAUGCAGGACCCAUUGGGCUUGAGGAGACAUGCAUUUGUCUUAGUCACUUUCCUCUUCUUUGAGCCCCAAUACCUGAUACACACAACUUAAAGGAAGAGAGGAUUACUUUGGCUCACAGUUUGUAGAGGUUCCAGUCCAUAGCAUUGGCUGGCUCCAAAGCAACAUGGCACAGUAGAGGGGCCAGGCUAACGAGAGGUGCUAAUCACAUGGUCCCAAAGAAGCAGAGAAUAGUCAAAGAAGGUCCGGAGAAGGGAGAUAAACCCUUCUAGGCCACAGCCACAGUAACCACUACUUCUCACUUGACCCUAUCUUUAAUGGCCAGUUAGCUACGUCUCCAUAAUCCUAUCACCUUUCAAAAGCCCCACUUUUGAGCUCUAGUGGCUUUGGGGAGACAUCCAGAUAUAAACCCAAAUUGUAAUGACACCAUAGCCUUGUGGAUUAAUAAGGGUUUUCCAGAGGGAUGGAACUGAGAUCCCUCUGAGAUGACCUCCAAUUCCCACCUCCUGUACCUGCCCUUUUCAGUUGCCCCUCUCCACAGGGAUGGGUUCCAGAACCCCACCGUGGACACCAAAAUCUGUGGAUGCUCAAGUCCCUUACUUAAAAUAAUGUUGUAUUUGCAUCUACCCUACAUCCGCCUAUAUACUUUAAAAUUUAAAUCAUCUCUAAAUUAUGUAUAAUACCUAAUACAAUGUAAGUGCCAUGUAAGUAGUUGUUAUAUAUAUUGUUUAGGAAAUAAUGACAAGAAAAAUGUCUGUUUAUGUUCAGUGCAGACAUAGAGUUUAGUUUUCAAAUAUUUUUGACUCAUGGUUGGUUGGAUCCUUAUAUAUGAAACCCACAGAUAGAGAGGGUGAAUCAUGUGGUCCCUUUCCCAUCCCAAGUGUGGAUGGGACUGCGAAUGAAUAUCACAGAACAAAGCCAAAUACAUUUUACAGACAUAAAUAAGGUUUCGAGUCACUAGACUUUGAGUUAGUCAAGAGAAAGAUGACCGAUCCUAAGUGGGCUUGGCCUAGUCAGGUGAGCCCUUAAUCAAGACUAGAUCUUUCCUAUGUAUAAUUUUGAAUUUGAGGAUUUGUCAAGAGGACCAUUGGUCAAGGGCUUGAGAGCAGCCUGCAGGAGCUGAUGAUCAUCUCAGGCUAAUAGGUGGCAAGAAAAUGGAAACUUCAGUUGCAUGGCCUCAGAGAAGUGAAUUCUGCCAAUAACCUGAGGGAUAUUGGAAGUGGAACCUUCCCUAGCUGAGCCUCCAAGGGAAGAUGCACCUGGAUAACAAGCUGCGUUCAGUCUUGUGAUACCCUGAGCACAGAAUCCCAUUAUUACUAGGUUUGUGGUAAUGUGUUACAGAGCAAUAGAAAACUCACACAGGUACCAUUCUAAACAUCACUCCUUUAUGUUAGGAAAAGAUGUUAAUGAUCGACAAAGAGAAUUUGUGCAAAGCGAUGUUUGACGGCUCAGGAAUGGCUUACAUGAAAUGCCCCAGCAAAUUGCCUUUUCUUUGUUAUCAUUAAACUGGACACAUCUGAUGAGACCCUGGCUAAGGGCUAGGGGAUAAGUGUUUUAUCUUCCCCUAGGCAGUUGCCCACAUGUGGUCAGUCCUGGAGAAGCCAGUGCACCUUGUCCUGGCCCAGGAACAACCGUGGUCAGUGGAAACCACAAAAGCAUCUCUGGCUUGUAUGGAUUCUGGGUUCCUUCUGUUGAGUAGAAAUCUAUUCCAGGAAAGACCACCCAAAUCAAAAAGAUCCAUGGCAUCAGGAGGGAUGCAUAAAAAUAGGAAUAUAAUAUCUGUUGGAAUAUUUUCCCUUUAUAGUAUAAGUCAUAGUUAUUUCUUGAAACCUUAUUACUCCAUAAAAAGUGUGUGAGCAGGUCCAUUUUGCUAGAUAGGUUCAUCUGUCCUACCACCAGAGUGGACAUAAUACAUAGUUAUUAGGUGCAGCACCUAGAUCACGUCCUGUCUGUGUAUUGUUAAACUAUUUUUACAAAGUGACAUUUAAAAAAAGAUAGUCAAAGCUGCUGACCUUUUAUUAACUUUACUUAAAAAAAGUCUGGAAUUAUUUUAAUGUUAUGAAUUUAUACAGAACAAUUUUCUUUUCUUUCUUUAUUUACUUUUUUUUCUUUUGGUUUGAUGGGAUCAAAGGUAGUUGUGUGCAUUUCCAGCUUGAAGACAAUUAAAAAUAAGAGGCAGAGAAGUACCUUUUCUGUUGUUAUUGCAUUGAUAAUGAAAAUGAGAGUCAGAUGGAAUUUUGUUUUCAAGUUUAAAAAAUGUCCAGUCAUUUGUGCAAAUGGUUUAAAAGCCUUGAGAUUUUAGGAAUAUGUACUUGCAAUUAUUCUCUUUUAAUAAUUAAUUACUAAUAUGUUUUAAUCACUGAGCACAUUGUUUUGAUCAUUAAGAAUUUACAAUGUAAAGAUUACUUCAAGGUCAAAUUUCAAAUGUUAAUCAUUUUAACCUAAUGCAUGUAAAUCUCUACUGAAUUCAGGUUAAAAAUAAAAAGUAAGUCAUUAAUUUGUACUGGCAUACUUACUGGAAAUUGUCUUUUAUUAUUCUCUGCUAUGGUUCAAGGUCAUUUCUUUAAUCUAACCUCAGAGCUGGAUAGAGUCAUCAGAGGAAAAAUCAUUCUUCUCCCUCUCUUUCUUUCCUUAAAAAUACAACUCUCAUAGGAGACCUCUUCUAACUUUCCUUUUCUCUUAAUUGUUCUUAUUUCAUCUUUAAUUAUUUCUGCUGCUAGGAUGGUGGUGUUUUUUUUCCUCUUAAUUCUGAGAGCAGAUUGUGUCACUGGAUUCAAGAUGCUUAGAAUACUGAGAAAUCUCAGCGUUAUUUUCUGGCUCAUGACUUUAGCUUGGUAUUUGAAAACUUUGCAAGGCAUCUUCUUUCUGAAAAAAUAGGCAUCCUGACAACUGCAGUCUCUGCUAGCUGUGUUCUGAUCAAGGCUGUGUGGGGCAAAGAGUGGCCCCCCAUGGGGCUUGAGUCCUGGUACCCUACUUAUUGGUUCUGUGCAGUAAGUUUACACCCAUCCUGUGUUCUUGCAUCCUCAUAUAGAAAGUGGGGACAGGCAGAACCCCAUGCUAAGGGGUAGUAAGUGUGAUGGGAAGCUGUGUAGGGUCAUCAGCUUCACCCACACUGGAGAAAAAAUGUGGUUUAUUUUGGCUGCAGUUGAUUUUCCCACGAGCCUAUUCCACAGGUCACUGGGUAGUAUGUGGCUUUAGUCCCACCCAGUUUAAGUCUUAAUAUCAUUCAAUUUAAGUUAAAAAGCCCAAUUCAAUUAAAUUAACUCCCUUAAGGGCCAGGGAUUUAGCUCAGUGGCGCCGUGCCUACCUAGCAAGUGCAAGGUCCUGAGUUUGAUCCCCGGUACUGGAAAAAAAAAUAGCUCCUUUAGGCAAUAAAGAUAAAUGUGCCCCAGUAACCUCCCCUUGUGUCUGUCCCUAAAUGCCUCAGAGUGUGAGAAGGGGCUUGUCUGUCUACACAUCUUUGUGCCCAUGCAGGUUCUUCUUGUACACUAUUCCCCCUCUUACCCACAGGGACAUGUCCCAAUAUCCCAGACAUCCACUUGAAACCAUGGCUAGAACCCAAACCUACAGAUACUAUGCUUCUUCCCUUAAUAAAUGCCUAUGAUAAAGUUUAAUUUAUACAUUAGGCUUAGUAAGCAAUUAACACUAGUAAUUAACAAAAAAUAACAAUUGUAGCAACAUAAUACAAAUUAUGUGAUUGUGCGUGUGAUCUCUCUCCCUCUCUCAAGAUAUCUUUUUAUUCUACAUUUUCACUUAAAGGAAGCACUUUAUGGCUUCUUUUUAGCAUAUCCAAAUGCCAACAUUACCACCUUUGUGGCUUGGGGCUAUUAGUAUGUAAAAAUAAGGGUUAUUUGAUGCCAAGUACUGCUGCAUAUACCACAACCGUCCAUCUAAUAACAGAGAUGGCUACUAAGUGACUAAAUGGGCAGAUAGUAUAUACUGCAUGGAUAUGAUAAAUGAAGAUUUGAUUCAUGUCCUGGGUGGGACAGAAUGGGAUGUCAAGAGAUAUCAUCACAACACUCAGACUGGUGCACAAUUUAAAACUUAGGAAUUAUUUUUUUCUGAAAUUUUGCAUUUAAUGUUUUGGAUAUGGCUGACCAUGGGUAACUGAAGCCAAAGAAAUUGAAACCUUGGAGGAGGGGGCUGCUGUAGUCUGUUCUGUGGGCUCAGAUAAUAUCUCUCUGGAAUACAGCCACAAUCACUUCCUUGCUGCUUUUUGCUGCUGGCAGAUCCCCGAGUCUUAUUCUUUCCUGGCUCCAGGAUGGGUAUUAUUUGGCCAGCUGGUUUUCAGUCCCAUAGACCUAAAGUGGCCCAUGGCAGCUGACUUUCCAGGCUUCCUUUUCGAUAAUCAUGCUCUUUGGGCUGCUAGGUUUACCAGGAUUUGUCCGUGCUGGGAUAUAUAUGGGCAGCCUGUCAAGUGCCUCUUUCCAAAACCUGCUAUAGAUUGGAAGGCCAGGAACCUCUGUCUUGAAUAUCCUCAUUUGAAAAUGGGACACCUGCUGGCUUGUCUUGACCUCCUGGCUCUGGCCUUUCUUUUCCUUACCACAAUUCACUCAGGACCAGCAAGAAGCAGGUCCUCCCUUACUAUGAACAUUCCAUGGGUUUGUCAUUUGAGGUUGAUUGUUGCUAUGCUACAGGCAGGGUGAAAAGGCUGGGUAUACAUUCUCAGAGCAACUGCUCAGCCUGAAAAGCUAGCUCUGGCUGCAAAAUCAUCCUUUUGGUCCAGAAUACAUAUCUCCUUGGUCUUUGUUUUUCUUCUAUAACCCUUAUCUUUUCCCUUGGCGGAGGAAUUCUCUAAGACCACAGCAAAGAGAAAGGCAAAAGAUAAAAGCACAUUAAUGCUCUUUAAAAUUCUAUCUUUGCAAUGUUACAUUGCAUCCAGUGCAGCUUCUGGUUAAAACCCAAUGAAUAUUUGUUGAAUGAAUGAAUAAUUAUGAUGAAUGAUUUCUUUUUAAACAAAUAGACACCCCUUAACAUUUUGGUCAACAGUAGACCACAUGUUGAUAGUGGUCCCAUAACAUCAUAUCACGUGUAACAUCUAGCUAUCUCGGUUUGUGUAAAUAAAUACACUCUAUGAUGUUCACAGAAUGAUGAAUUAUCUAAUGAUACACUUUUUACAUUCCCCAUAUUAAGUGAUGCAUAACUGUAUGUAUUUCUCAAGCAGAUCACUGGCAAUUCAUAACAGACAUCGUAUAGCCAUUUUACCAUGAAGAAAUUAUAAAUCUUUGGUUAAUUGUCAAAUAAGUAACUCUGUAGUCGACAGAAAAGAGUUUUCUCUUUUCUCCAUGAAGAGCAGUUAUAAGAAUAAUAAAUUUUUUACCAAAGCAAAAAUUGUACUGGAGAAAGCUCAACAGGCGAAGAAGACUUUGUUCUGGCUACUGAAGUAGAGGAGAAAGACCAGAACUGAGUGUUACUCAACUCUCCUAAAACAAAGAACAGAAAAGAUAUUGGGCAACAGUUUCUAUCUGUAGAAGUCCUUCAGAGCCCCAGUCUCAUUGACAGGAAGACAUUAACCUUGGUUCUUCCCACUUGAAAUAAUUUGCAUCUGAAUUAUAAGUUUCCAGAAAUGGAAUUAUCAAAGUGAGCCUACAUAAAAGCCAAGAGGUCUAAGGAAGUUUGUAAGGAGAAGGGGACUUGAAGCAGAACAAGAACUUGUUCUUUUUGGAAAUUGCAUAUAAUUUAACAUGGUAUAACCUUUGAAGAGGAAAUAUGACCCACUCAGAGCAUCACAGUGGGAUUUACGGAGGCUCGAUGUCUGAAAGCCCCAUCUCAAAGAAAGCAGGUGAUGGACUAAGCUUUACUUUUCUAUGUUCAAUGGAUGCUGACAAAAGUUGGCUUUGUGCAGUGUUUCUAUGAGGCAAUGAGGCCAAGCGUUUUUAUUCCCAAGGAUGAAAUGGAAAUGAUGGAGUCAAUAAGUAAGCGCUCUCAGAAGACUGGAAGAGGGACCUCUCCUUUAGCAGUGGAGGUGUGGCUUUUCUUUCCCAAUGGGCCAAAUCAAAAGUGUGGAAAGGCCAACACCUGGGCUUUGGUGGUAGUCUUGCCCACCUGCUGCCACCAUGGGCCUGGCCCCUGAGAUCCUGCUUCUCCAUCUGGAGCUCAGGUCAUAUUCCAGAGUCAUUUCAAGAUGGGCCUCAUUGUUUGGGGAGGUCUCUCCAAGUUUCUGCUCUUUGUGUUUACAACAUCAACUGAAGUCAUAUUUUAAGCGUGAAGGUGGUGGAAAACUGGACAGUCUCUGUGUUCUGACCUACAGAGAAGGACGUGAACUUGAGAGCCAUUCUUCUACGUUUGCUUUUCUCCUGGGCUAGGAGCACUCGGAACCACAGGGCGCGGGCUGGGUGGGGUCAGCAGGGGCCGGCGGGGUCAGCGGGCGCACACACAUUCCCGUCAUGCUCUGCUGUCUCGGUCCGGCUUCGCCCUCGACGCUGACUCUGCCACGAAGCAGUAUGGGCUGCGUUCCCAGGCUCCCAGAAAAGUUAGUAUCCCGCUCAGUGGUUUGUUUGAAAGUUUGAAUUUAGUUGUGUGACUCAAGCCACUAGUUGCCUGACUUUUGUCAGUCGUGGCUCUGAGGGAAUUUUGGAGCGCGUGAGAGAUUCUCUCAAUAUUGUAACACGGGAAGCCUUUCUGUUGAUUUUAUUGUAAUUUGUAUGGUUUCCCAAGGGGUUUGGCAGCUUAGCGGUGGUCUGGGUCUUUGAGUAAUAUAAAGCUGCCAUGGAUGUGGCUAAAUAAUACCUUAGGCAUGUGGUUUAUGGCCUGGGAACCUAGCUGUGUGUGCUUUGUAUUUUACUGCCAACCAGAAAUCUUGAGGGAAUCACUAGCUCAUCAACGUAGCGUUUCUCUCUGACCCUUGAUAUUCCAGCUGGCUUUUGAAAAUUACGACCACUUAACAGCUUUUGGCAGUCUCUGUGUGGAGGCGACUGAAAGGGAUAAAUUGUGUGAAAAUUGUCACCAUACUUGGCAUUUGAGGCCACUGUCUCAGAAGAGUAGCUGUUGUACAAAUGAUCUGCUUUGUCAAGAGCUGGCGGAAAAUAAAGAUGAGCUUCUAGAUGUUAUUAGGUUGCUGAAAGUCAAGCUCUGGGGAAACAUCAGUGAGAUCAGGAAGUCAAAUAUAUUGUAGAGAUGAAACGAUUGAAGUGGAAGUGCCCAUUAUUUCAGUGAAAUCCAAGAAGUUGGUAGCAGGAAACAGGUUUUUUUAAACCUUUUGUUUGGAAAUACUCAUAGAUUCACAGAAAUCUGCAAAAAAUAUACAGAGGUGAAUAUACCUUUCACUCUACAAUGUCUUGUGUAACUAUAGUAUAGUUGCAAAACCAAGAAGUGAGACAAAGUGCUUUUAAGAAAGCUGUGUGACCACCCAUUCAGAGAAUGAAAUCAUAUUCAUAUUCAGAAAUAGCAUCAUUUUUUUUUCUAAGACCUUACUUUGUGUCCGUAGUCGUUUGUCAUUUAAUAAGGUGGAUACAUUCUGAGAACUGCAGUGUUAGACGAUUUUAUCAUUGUGUGAACAUCACGGCGUAUAUUUAUACAAACCUAGAUAGCACAGUCUGUUAUACACUUAGUAUAAUUGUUAUAUUGUAUAUCCUGUUGCUCCUAAGCUACAAACCUGCUAAUCAUGUGCAGUAAAAACAUGUGCUAGAAGAUAUUUUUAAUCUCUGUUAUGGGACCACCAUCAAAUGUGCUGUCAUUUGUUAAAACAUUGGUUUGCAGCUCCAAUGUAUAGGACACUGGAAAUAUAAACAAUUCAGCUCUGAUUCCUUCCUUCAGGGAGUUACAGAAUAAUUAGAGAGACUGAUAUUAAAUAAGUAAUUAUACAGAUAAUUCAUCAGUUACAAUCUUGAUAAUUGCUAUGAAAUGAAAAUAUACUCAAAAGAGAAAUUGAUUUCAUGAAAAGACCUUAAAAGUUUCCAGAUGUUUAGGAGCCUUAUUUAAAGAUUUUCCAGAGUCUACAGUAGCUGCAACUUUAAAGUUUACUCUUACUAUAAAAUUUAUAAUUGUGCCCCUGCCAUUGGUCUGCAGAAGCCAAGUAUGUCUUGGAAUUCAUGGGCAUUGAUGACUGUCCCCAAAUGGCAGCUUAUGAAUACAUUACUAACAUAUACCAAUAAUUUGGCUGCAGAAAGAGAACUGGACUUCAGGAAUCUGUACCUUAAUAUCACCAGCAGUUGGAAGUGAUAAACCUAAAAUAGAUGUCUAACAAGUGGAGGGAUUCUUGAAAACUGGCUGUGUUCGAUGAGACUCUAAAACAUCUUUUCAGUUGUAAAAUUUCCUGCCUUUGGUUUGAGAGGGCAGCUUUGGCAAGGCACACAGAAUUCAAAUGCACAAGACUUGUUCAUGUGGCUCAGUGAUAUGAUCUAAUUUGGAAUCCUUAUGGUUUAAGUGAAGAGAGGAACAAUUAGAUUUAUGUUCCCUGUUGAGCACAAGACAUGGUAUCCAGGCAACUCAAGCUGAAUGCACAUAAGAUAGCGACCUUACCCACCUACUUGGUAAACUCUACACAGGUGGCGGAAAUAAUACCUGGAUAAAUAUCCCUGGUCACUUAGGACAUUUUCUUUAUAUCAACAUUUGCUGUAGGAGGUUCUCAUAUCUCCUGGUUUUUCCAGACAAACAGUAUGUUUCAGACAAGAAGUGGGAAACAAACGUUUGCCAGAAGUUUCUGGGGAGUAGCUGGCCUUAGCAGUGCUGUGCAUGGCCAAGUUAGCACACCUAUUGUCAGCUCCAGUUUUGUAAGAUGUCGUGAAUUAGGGUACCUGUCCAAGAAAUACAUAAUAUUUAGAAGUGCUGACUUGGUAUUUACUCAAGUGGAGCGUCUUUUGUGAUUUUUCAUUACUCAUUUGAUGUUCUGCGUCAUUGGUCACUGAGCCUUUCAGUAUAGAAGCAAGAGCAUUAGUUUGAGUGCUGCACUUGACCACCUGAACAUUCAUUCCAGUAAUUGGCUUCCAUCACAACUGUAAAUAAAACCGAGGAAAAAGUCUCACAGAAUCCAAAUUGCCCUCAAUCUUUCUUUUCCUUAUGGGGAAAUCUCAGGAUUGACAGCCCUCUUGAUGUUAAUUUAUUUGUUGAAUUUUACUUUUAUUAAAAGUUUACAACUUUAAAUAAUUUUUUUUCAGAAUGUUAGAUUUAGUUUGGGAGACUUUUUUGGUAAUGUUAAUGAUUCAAAUCAGGGCCUCUCAACUGAGCUGAACUAUGGCCCCAGCCUUUACAUUUUAAAAUUUUUCAGUCAGAGUGUCACUAAGCUGCUCAAUGCCUUGAACUUGUGAUCCUCCUGUCUCAGCUCCUGAGUAGCUGGGGUUACAAACAUGCAGUAUUGUAUCGGGUUGACAAAUUGUUAUUUUUAAUGAACUCUCGUGACUGGAAGAGAGUGCUCUUGACACUGAAGCCACAUGUACCAGUUCUAGAGGACUGGACUGGCUCUUGGAGCAAGGGUCAAAGUCACCCCCAGGGCUUUGCAUUGUGUCCUGCACACAUCUAUCUCCAGGUGCACACUGGCUGCAUUUGCUGUUGGAAACUUGCAGCUGGAUGGUGUAGGUUUUAGGGGCUGGGCUUUGGAAGAUAUAGAUCUGAUUUUUCAUCCUAUCUCUGCCACUUACUUCUCUGAGUCCUUGGGCAAGUAGUGGUCUGUACCUUGGUCUCAUCUGAGAAAUGAGACCUACCACAGAGUUGGAAAAAUUAUUAAGAUAAUAUUGAGAACUUUGAACAGGACCUGAGGUAUGUUUCCUUGUGGAUUGCCUGUCUCCCUAGUUGGAAUAUAAGCCUCACAAGGACAAGGAUUUGUCUCAUUGUUGUGACGCAAUGCAGGGGACAUAGAGGGUGCUCCACAAGUAUUCACCAGAUUAAUGAAUAAAAAAAGUUAUAUGUUUUUCUGUAUUACUAUAAAGUGAGAGAGAACGGUUUAAAUAUUUGAGGAAUAGAGACAAGACAAUUAUAAGAUCAAAUUAUUGGAGAAAGAUAUAUCCCCAUGAAUUAUCUAUCUAUAUUUUACUUUUGGGCAUCAAUUCCACAUUUAAGUAAAUUUAUAAUUUUAGCUGAGAAGUCAUAACUCCUUUCUCUAGAUAAUGGUUUUAAUGAUUCCUGAGAGAAAGUGGUAUAGCCAUUUUUGAUCUUUGAUUAAUAUGCAUAUACAUUUAAUAUAAUUAUGUGGGGUUUUUCUGAUUCCUUACUGAAUAUGGCAGAUUUUCCAUUCUUCUUUUUCUUUUUUUCAUUUCUUAUUUAUUGCUGUCUUACUCUGCCUCUAAGAUAAAACACUAUAAUGCUUUAAAAAUAUAUCUGAGAAUCAAUAGUGUAGAGAAUGUUAGCUUGUCAGGGAAAAAUUUGAAUGUCAAAAUAUUGCUUUUCUUUAGGAGUUACGCAGAGUUUAAAUUCCAUAGGCAAUUAUUAAUUACAUUAUCUCCAAACUGCCAAAAUCUGGUUUCAACUAGGAAUCAAUUUAGAGGACCAGUAUGUGUCUGCUAGGAAUGAGGUGGGCACUGAGUGAUAUUUUGCCAGUUUUAGGGACAGGUCAUUCACCUACCACCAGAUGGCAAAGUUACUCCAUCAGAUUUCAGGAGAGCUUUUGUUAAAACAGGUUUGUCACUUUUGUGAACUGGAUGGUUCACAUUUUUGUGGAUGCAGAAAAGAGAGCAACUCAUGAGGGCCUGUGUUUUAAAAUUUUAUGUAGGAAUUAAAGUACAAAUUGUUACAGAUUCUGGUACUAUUUGUACACAUAAAAUAUCUAAAGGGUUAUUAUGGUUUUUUUAACCCAUAAGAGAAUGGUGUUGACAGGUAAAUUGGAUGCCCCCCCCCACACCUUAAGGUGAACUUCGAUUUCCCUCUUUAUAACUUCUAACCUUCUGUCUUUCUAAGUCAUUCCACCCACCUGUUCUUUGUGGGAUCAUAGUAAUAGGAUAAUAAUUAAGAGCAAGAGUGUUAGAGACCAACAUCUCUGUGAUUAAGUCCAAACUAUUCCAUUUGGGUGAGCCAUGUAACCUCUUCAUGCUUCAGGUUUCCACAAAGUCAAAGUGCCUACUUCAUGGAAUGGCUGGUGUGGAUAAGGCAGUAUAGCUGAUGCCCCUGUCUGGCACCUAUGGGUGCUCACAUUAGGGUGUGUUCUGUUAGCUGCAAUACAUUUUACUCACCAUAUGUUAUCCUUGGGUGAAAAAGGCAUGUGAAUGCAAUAUUUUAUAUCCCUCUCUGAGACAUUAAAAUUUCAAACUACAGUAAAGUAUGACUUAGCUAUGGCACCUUUGCCUGUUCCUCCUCACUCCUACCUUCAUCCUUUGGAUAGGCUAAAUCACCGGCUUUCAGCAGUGGGGUGUGCGUGUGUGGGUUGAUGUUCCCUCCCCAGAGAACAUUUGGUAAUGUUUGGAGACACUUUUGGUUGCCACAAUUGUGGGAGGGAGUACGUAUUACUGACAUCUACUGUGUAGAGCCUGGGAAUGUGGUUAAAUAUCCUAUAAUGCACAGGGCAGCCUCCCUGAAGCCCAGAAUUAUCUGGUGCCAAAUAUCAAUAGUGCUGAGAUUGAGAAACACUGGGCUAAAUAGUACUCAGAAGAAGGAAGAUUUCUUGUCUUUGGUAUAGGCAAUUCAACUAGAUUAAAUUUCAAACAUAUACUAAUCAGGACUUAUACUAGAAUUGGGGAUCUAAGGAUUAAAAAGACAUAAAUCCAGGAUCUGUGAAGAGUCUGCAUUUUUUUUUUUUAACUUAUCAGUACUGUUUCAUGAUAGAAGACAUAAGACUCUGUGGUCAGAGAUAGGGAACUUUAUUAUUUGUGUGACAGCAAGCUGCACAAGCAUCAUGUUGGCAUCAUUUUCCUUGCUGCCCAAGGAAUGUGUGGGUGGACCUAGGUUGGUGUUAAGCAUGCAGUAAAUUUAUAUCAUAGCCGAAGAACCCUGAGCUUGGGGAAUCCACUGGUCUUACCAGAAAUGGUAAUCCUACUCUUUUUCCAGGGGGGUGGAGGCAAGAUUCCCUUCAUCAAUCUAUGGUGUAAAAAUUAUAGACAAGGGUAUUUCAGAUUAUUGAAAAAGCUUCAUAGAGGAAGAAAUAACUGGAUUUUGAAGGUUUAAUAGGAUUUUAUCCCAAAAAUAAGGCAGAAAAGGUUGUCCCAGAACCAGGAAUAGAAUGGGUAAAAGGCACAGACAUAUAAUCCACCAUGGGGUUUGGAGGGGUGUUGUAAAAGAGUAAGCCACACAGGUAGAGAGAGAGAGAUGGCUUAUGCAUUUAGUGGAGUGGUCAGUGGGUGUAUCUAGCCUGUUGAGUUCCUCAGAAGUAGGCUGAGAGUAGGAACAUCUUUUACUGUAAGCUGUGAGGGCAUAAAAUUGAGGGGAAUGAAAGAUUUUGUCAUGGGAAUAAUUGCCAUUCCAAACUCUGUAUAAAGUGUUAUUUGAUAUAAAGGAUUACAAGGAGGUAGAAGAGAAUCAAAGGUUCUGGUGAUACUGAGGAUCCUCUAAGAGAGGCUUUUCUUUUAUUGCCACCAUUAAGUUACCUUCCCUCCAGAGCAUCUCAACAUAGGUUAUGUGGGGACAGGGAGGACUCUGCAAAGACCUGGUUGAGUUUGAACAACUAGUGAGCGCAUGUGGACUUUUAAAACUAUGUCAUGCAACUAUAAACUUAGAUACGACAAUGAGCACAUGAGCUACAUUUCUACAAGAUGAUUUUUUUCCGUACUGUAGCUGUGAACCUUUAGUGCUGUGUGGGACCCAGUCUUCUGCACCAGUAGACCCUACUCAACAUAUGUUACUUGUUAGGGCAAGGCUGACAGACUAGAAAGCAGGUCAUGCUGGAUCAUUUACAAGAAAAUUUGGGGGAGUUUAUGGGUUCAAAGAAUGAUGUGUCUAAUGCUAAGCGCAAGAGUAAUUUGGGUAAAUAGCAGAGCACAGUCCCUUUAUUGCCCGUGGUGGGCAUCAUCUUGGCAGUUAAAAAUUGGCCACAAUGGAUAUGUUUGCACAAGGAAAUUGGCCAAUGCUGCAAUCAAGGAUUAUUUUGCUUAUCUAGUCACAAAAUGAUAGACAAAAUGUUAAUAAUGCAGACCGAAAUUAAAGGUUUAUCACAUCAGUGGCUGUUGCAUUGUGAAUAACACCAAAAUUGAGAAGCAGUCUUCUAGUAUUGGAAAAUUAUUGUUUGAUUCAAUAAAGAAGUUACUAUCAUGAGUGAUGGAAAAGUGACUUCCCACUAUAUAUGUCAUUGUCAUUUUUCUUCUUACUUGUUAAUGUAAGCAAAAAUUUCAACCAAUAUUCAUGUUGGAACUACUUUUGUUUUAUCAGUUACAACUGUUGGUUGGCUGCAGUUACAACAAUUUGAUAAAAAUCAAAACAUUCUGUGAGACUCCAUUGAUUAUACAAGUUUACAGUAAGGGACUUUAAAAAAUUAUAGUUCUGUGCUGCAUACCAGAGCCUCAGCUGAUGAUGGAUCACAUGGACAACGGUGGUCUCAUAAGACUGUAAUGGCACUGAAAAAUUCCUAUCCCCUAGUGACGUUGUAGUCACUGUAGCACACUGCAUUCCUCACAUAUUUUGGGGGAUGCUAGUGUAAAUCUACUUUUUUUGCCAGUCAUAUAGAAGUAUAGUGGUAGAGUUAUGUACAGUAUACAAUACUUUGUAAUGACAAUAACCAAUUGUAUUAUUGACUCUUGUACAUAUUAUGCUUUUUUUGUGUGAUUUUCCAAUGGUGGGAUUCAAACCCAGGACUUGAACAUGCUGGUCGACUACUCUUCCACUGGGCUAUACUCACUUUACUUUUAAUCAUUAUUUUAGACUGUAUCUAUGUAUUAACUGUAGUCAUCAUUAAUCAUAACUUUAGUGUGCUCCUCCUACUUAUAUAAAGAAAGCUAAUUGUGGCCUCAAUAGGGCCAUCAGGAGGGUGCAGAAGGAGGUGUUGUUAUCAUGGGAGACUAUAUUACUAUAUUACUUUUCCAGUGGGACAAGGUGUGGUGGUGAAAGACAGGUGAUUUUGAUGAUCCUGACCCUGUGUAUGCCUCAGUUAAGGUGUGUGUUUGUGUCUUAGUUAUUAACAACAGAGUUUAAAAAAUUAAAAGAAAAAGUUUUUUCUUUUUCUUUAUUAGUACAUGUUUGCAGUACAUAAUGUUUACGUCCCAUGUGUAGAGUUAGUGCAUGUACAUAACACAUCAUAAUUCUGUUUUUCAUCCCUUUUCUCUCCCCCUCCCCUCUCCCCUCUCCCUCCAUCUCUUGAUUCACUUCCUAUUUGAGAAACAUCUAUCUCCAUACUUUCUACUCUCUUUUUGUCCUUUAUUUGUAUUUUAGGUUUCUCAUAUAAGAGAAAUCAUGUGAUAUUUAAGUUUGUGUGUCUGAUUUAUUUCACUUAACGUUGUGGCAUUAAGGUGCUUCCAUUUUCGUACAGAUGACGCAAGUUUAUCUUUAUGGCAGAAUAGUACUCCAUUGAGUGUAAAUCCCACAUUUCCUUAUCUGUUCAUCUAUUCAGGGGCAUAUAGGCUGCUUCCAAGAAUUAGCUAUUAUUAUGAACUGUGCUGCUAUAAACAUGUAUAUGCAUGUAUCACUGUAAUAUGUUGUCUUUAAAUCUUUUGGGAAAAUACUUACAAGAAGAAUAAUGCUGUCGAAUAGAACUUCUAGUUUUAGUUUUUUGAGAGAUCUCCAUACUGAUUUCCAUAAUGAUUGUACUAGUUUACAUUCCCGCCAACAAUGUACAAGGGUUCCUUUUUCCCUGCAGCCUUGCUAGCAUUUGUUAUUAUUUGAUUUUUGAUGAUGUUCAUUCUUACUGGGUUAAGGUGGGAUCUCAUUGUUGUUUUAAUUUGCAUUUCUUUAAUGACCAGCCAUGUUGAACAUUUCUUUGUGUACUUAUUGGCCAUUUGUACUUCUUCUGUGAAAUGUCUAUUCAUUUAAGAGAAAAUUUAAAAAACGGAAAAACCUUAUGAAGCUUAUAAGCCUGUGUUUUAAGCUAAGGGUCGACAGAAAUGAGUUAAGUUUGAAAAGUUUUUAAAGUAAAAAAUUACAAUAAACUAAAGUUAAUUUAUUAUUGAAGAAAGACAUUUAAAAAAUAUUAGCACAUCUUUAUUGGUUACCUUAUGGUAGUUCAAUACAUGUGUAUAAUGUAUAAUUAAAACAUGUACAUCUUUAUGGAUUACAUUAUAGUAAUGCAAAUAUAUGUAUACAAUGUGUAAUAAUCAAUUCAGGCAUCUCUUCAAACAUUAAUCAUUUUUAUGUGUUGGGAAUUUGAUACUCUUCUAGUUAAUUUGAAAUAUAAAUUGUUUCAACCAAUAAUUACCCUACUGUAAUAAAGAAAAAAGCAAAGUAAUUUCUCCACUCUGUGUUUAGUGUCUCUUAUUGAAGUUCUUUCUGUCCCCCUUCCCUAGUUUCUGGUAACCACUGUUCUAUUCUGCUCUUCUAUGAGAAUGGCUUAUUAGUUACUAUAAGUGAGUAUGAAUAUGUGGUGUACGUCUUUCUGUCUCUGGCUUAUUUCACUGAACAGAAUGACCUCCAGUUCUAUACACAUUGCUGCAAAUGACAAGAUUUUACUUUUUAUGGUGACUAGUAUUUAUUCCAUUGUGUAUUUAUACCACAUAUUCUUCUUCCAUUCAUCCAGUGAAGGGCAUCUAGACUGUAGUUAUUGCUAAUAGUGCUGACAUAACAUUUUGGUAUAAUUAGUUCAUCUCCUUUAGACUUGUACCAAGUAGUGGGAUUGGUGGAUUGUAUGGAAUUCUACUUUUAGUUUUCUGAUGAAUCUGCAUACUGUUUUCCAUUUUGGCUGCACUAAUUUACAUUCCAACUAACAGUGUAUAAGAGUACAAUUUUCUUUUCUUCCUCACCAGCAUUAAUUUUUUGUCUGUUUAAUGAUAGCCAUUCUAACUGGGGUGAGAUGAUAUCUCAUUAUGGCUUUGAUUUGUACUUCUCUGAUCAUUUGUGAAAUUGAACAUUUUGCUGUGUUCUUGUUGGCCAUUUGCAUGUCUUCUUUGGAGAAGUGUCUGUUUAGUUCUUUAGCCCUUUUUUUUUGGUACCAGGGAUCGAACUUGGGACCUUGUGCUUGCGAGGCAGGCAGUGGAACCACUGAGUUAAAUCCCUGGACCUCUUUAGCCCAUUUUUAAAUUAGAUUUUUUUAAGAGGUCAGCUUUUUGAGUUCCUGUAUAUUCUUGAUAUCAAUCCCUUGUCAAAUGAAUAGUUUGCAAAUAUUUUCUCUCAUCCUAUAGGAUUUCUGUUUACUCUGUUAUUAGCUUCACUGUGAGGAAGCUUCUUGGUUUGAUAUAAUUCCAUUUGUCUAAAUUAUGUCUGUUGCCUGUGCUUUUAGGGUCUUACCUAAAUAAACCAUUAACUAUACUAAUGUCUUGAAGGGUUUCCUCCAUUUUUCUUUUUUAGGAAUUUUGUGGUUUCUGGUUUAUCAUUUAGAUCUUUGGUCCAUUUUGUGCGGUGAGAGGAAAGGAUCUAGUUUCAUUCUUCUGUGUCUGUAUAUCCAAUUAUGCAAACACUGUUUAUUGAAGAGACUGUCUUUCCUCCACUGUAUGUUCUUGACUUCUUUGUUAAAGAUCAGUUGAUUGUAUGAAUGUGGUGAAGAAGGAAAAUGUGUAACACUGCUAAAUACUGUAGGCAAUGGUGGGAAGUCCCUAGGGUCAAGCCUCAGGCCCCCUUGACAUUAAAGACCCUUUGGCCUUUCUCCCUCCUCUAGCUUCAUUAUUCCCUGGUGAAUUGCUCUGAGAAUACUUGUCCCAGCUCCACUUCCGGAGGAAACUCCUUAGCAAAGUUCCCUGGCUAGCCCUUUUUUUCCCACAGAUGAGGAGGCUGAAAUACUUCUUAUACUCUCACCCAUCCACACACUAGAACAUUCGUCAGGGAAAGCUCUCUACAUGGUUGCUCAAUAAUCUGCAACCUUAUAGGAGUCAUUCACUC
Molecule: long non-coding RNA, 23409 nt
Filed under: Heterocephalus glaber (naked mole-rat)
Lineage: Eukaryota; Metazoa; Chordata; Mammalia; Rodentia; Bathyergidae
Description: lncRNA (ENSHGLG00000035943.1)
Source: RNAcentral